Molecule: ribosomal RNA, 253 nt
Filed under: uncultured bacterium
Lineage: Bacteria
Description: partial 16S ribosomal RNA
Rfam family: Bacterial small subunit ribosomal RNA
Source: RNAcentral
UACAGAGGGGGCAAGCGUUAUUCGGAAUCAUUGGGCGUAAAGGGCGCGUAGGCGGCCGGCCAAGUCGGGUGUGAAAUCCCUCGGCUCAACCGAGGAACUGCACUCGAUACUGGCUGGCUCGAGUCCGGGAGGGGAUGGUGGAAUUCCCAGUGUAGCGGUGAAAUGCGUAGAUAUUGGGAAGAACACCGGUGGCGAAGGCGGCCAUCUGGACCGGAACUGACGCUGAGGCGCGAAAGCCAGGGGAGCGAAUGGG